RNAcentral lists this unclassified non-coding RNA (336 nucleotides) under soil metagenome. RNAcentral's name for it is "partial contains 5.8S ribosomal RNA, internal transcribed spacer 2, and large subunit ribosomal RNA". The stretch from base 1 to 120 matches the Rfam family "5.8S ribosomal RNA", at positions 35 to 154 of the family's 154-position model. The record is from RNAcentral.
GAUGAAGAACGUAGCGAAAUGCGAUAAGUAACGUGAAUUGCAGAAUUCAGUGAAUCAUCGAAUCUUUGAACGCACAUUGCGCCCGCCAGUAUUCUGGCGGGCAUGCCUGUUCGAGCGUCAUUUCAACCAUCAAGCCCCCGGCUUGUGUUGGGGACCUGCGGCUGCCGCAGGCCCUGAAAAGCAGUGGCGGGCUCGCUGUCACACCGAGCGUAGUAGCAUACAUCUCGCUCUGGGCGUGCUGCGGGUUCCGGCCGUUAAACCACCUUCAUAACCCAAGGUUGACCUCGGAUCAGGUAGGAAGACCCGCUGAACUUAAGCAUAUCAAUAAGCGGAGGA